GUCCUCACUUUCUUCUCUUGGCUGUAGAUCAGAAGCCUCAAAGGAAGCCCAAGGGUCCAAGCAUCUCGCUCUCCUCUCUCUGCUCCCUGCUCACCCUCCCCUCCCAGGCCUCUGCAUCCCUUUCCCUGGUGGAGCCAAACUACCGCAGGGCUCUGAGCACUCACAAGAC
Unclassified non-coding RNA from Carlito syrichta (Philippine tarsier), 169 nucleotides. The record is from Ensembl. NCBI's taxonomy places the organism in Eukaryota, Metazoa, Chordata, Mammalia, Primates, Tarsiidae.